This is a long non-coding RNA of Dama dama (fallow deer), 976 nucleotides long. RefSeq lists it as uncharacterized. The transcript has 5 exons. The record is from RefSeq and is a predicted model, not a curated record. NCBI's taxonomy places the organism in Eukaryota, Metazoa, Chordata, Mammalia, Artiodactyla, Cervidae.
AAGCACUGAACACUGUGCUGAGUAUACAUUAAGUAUUUAAUCAUUGUUCAUUCCAGCCACACUGUUCCCCAUAAGGCUCCUGAGGAGGCAGACAUGACUUAAGGGAAAAUGUCAGUGUCAAGUGAAUGCUAACAGUGAGCACAGGUUCCAAGGAAGGUUCAGGAUGGAGGGCCACCACAGUCCUCAGGGGUGCUGGGUCCCCUCAGUCCCGAAGUUACAGAAGGACAGAGACUGCCAUGUGCCCGGAUAGGAGGAACUGGAGUGGCUCGUCAGAACCACAGUGUUUUAGGAGAGAAGACUGGGAGUCAGAGAGGAGGCCCCUGAACACCGGGUUAAGCUUUGGAUCUGGUUGAAAAUUCCUGUGAGAGACCAUCUGGUUCUUGUGGCCCCAGAGGGCAGAGCUAUGUCUGAGGGAGGCAAAUACCAGCUCCACGGAUCAGGGUCAUUUUUGCAAUCAGAAUUUCUUCCACACCAUGGGCUGCUCCCAGAGUGAAAAGCUCUCAGGUCACAGAGGCUGUGACCCAGGAGCCCCUGGAAAGGAUGAGAAAACCAGCGCCGGGGCAAGGGUCUUGAAGAUCACCGGGAUCCCCUCUCCACGCCUGUAGGCCACUCCUGGAAGCUCUGCUGGGCUUGGAUGCUGCCGGAGACGCACGAUGACAGCUUGGGAAAAGGAGGGCCACAUCCUAGCCGAGGAGCGAGCCUCUGAGAGAGCGUGCUGUGGUCUCCAACAGCAGGGGGAAAAACACGCAGAAGUUAUAAUUAGUCAGGAAGAGGAAAGAGGAGCGGAGCGUGUGAAUCACCAGCCCCGGUGACAGACGGUUAGAGCUGAGCAGAAGUUUUGGGAGAAGCUGCUGAGGUGUGGAAGAAAAUCAUUAUGGAUGUCGAGCAUAAAUGCAAUCCUUAUGUGGUGCUGAGAGCAGAGAAUGGAAGGAAAAUACCUCCUGAGCUCGCCCACGCCUGUGUCACAGAAGAGGCA